AAAUCGCGACGGGGGGAUCCCAAGUGCCAUUCUUAACGGGAUGGCUUUUCAUUAGUGUAAAGAGCUUUUGGAAUAAGAGCUGGGCAAGACCGGUGCCAGCCGCCGCGGUAACACCGGCAGUUCUAGUGGUAGCAGUUAUUAUUGGGCCUAAAGCGUCCGUAGCCGGUUUAAUAAGUCUCUGGUGAAAUCCUGUAGCUUAACUAUGGGAAUUGCUGGAGAUACUAUUAGACUUGAGAUCGGGAGAGGUUAGAGGUACUCCCAGGGUAGAGGUGAAAUUCUGUAAUCCUGGGAGGACCGCCUGUUGCGAAGGCGUCUAACUGGAACGAAUUCUGACCGGUGAGGGACGAAAAGUUAGGGGCGCCGAACCCGG
Molecule: ribosomal RNA, 370 nt
Filed under: Methanobrevibacter oralis
Lineage: Archaea; Methanobacteriati; Methanobacteriota; Methanobacteria; Methanobacteriales; Methanobacteriaceae
Description: bacterial SSU rRNA
Rfam family: Archaeal small subunit ribosomal RNA
Source: RNAcentral